UUGUUCUUUAAAUGAGGACUAGAAUCAACGGCAUCACGAGGAUCCCACUGUCUCCCCCCUCCAAUCAGUGAAACUGAUCUCCCCGUGAAGAAGCGGGGAUACAAAUAUAAGACGAGAAGACCCCAUGGAGCUUUAAACCCAACAGCACCCGUUUAUUUUCAUCCUCACAUAAGUUAGGUUAUGCCUGUUUGGUUUUAGGUUGGGGUGACCACGGAGUAUAAAACAACCUCCAUGAAAAAAGGACCAAAAAUCCUUAUUAGAGAAAGACAUUUCUAAAAUUAAUAAAUUAAUUUUUAAUGAUCCGAUAUUCGAUCAACGAACCAAGUUACCCUGGGGAUAACAGCGCAAUCCACUUCAAGAGCUCCUAUCGACAAGUGGGUUUACGACCUCG
RNAcentral lists this ribosomal RNA (391 nucleotides) under Boophis elenae. RNAcentral's name for it is "partial 16S ribosomal RNA". It matches the Rfam family "Bacterial large subunit ribosomal RNA", at positions 1969 to 2528 of the family's 2925-position model. The record is from RNAcentral. Lineage: Eukaryota; Metazoa; Chordata; Amphibia; Anura; Mantellidae.